This 445-nucleotide ribosomal RNA is filed under the name uncultured bacterium. RNAcentral's name for it is "partial 16S ribosomal RNA". It matches the Rfam family "Bacterial small subunit ribosomal RNA", at positions 354 to 796 of the family's 1533-position model. The record is from RNAcentral.
GUGAGGAAUAUUGGUCAAUGGGCGAGAGCCUGAACCAGCCAAGUCGCGUGAAGGAAGAAGGAUCUAUGGUUCGUAAACUUCUUUUGCAGGGGAAUAAAGUGCGGGACGUGUCCUGUUUUGUAUGUACCCUGAGAAUAAGGAUCGGCUAACUCCGUGCCAGCAGCCGCGGUAAUACGGAGGAUCCGAGCGUUAUCCGGAUUUAUUGGGUUUAAAGGGUGCGUAGGUGGUUUGAUAAGUCAGCGGUGAAAGUUUGCAGCUUAACUGUAAAAAUGCCGUUGAAACUGUCCGACUUGAGUGUAAAUGAGGUAGGCGGAAUGCGUAGUGUAGCGGUGAAAUGCAUAGCUAUCACGCUGAACUCCGAUUGCGAAGGCAGAUUACUAAGCUACAACUGACACUGAAGCACGAAAGCGUGGGGAUCAAACAGGAUUAGAUACCCUGGUAGUCC